UCUGGCUCAGAUUGAACGCUGGCGGCAGGCUUAACACAUGCAAGUUGAGCGGGGAAGGUUGCUUCGGUAACUGACCUAGCGGCGGACGGGUGAGUAAUGCUUAGGAAUCUGCGUAUUAGUGGGGGACAACGUUUUGAAAGGAACGCUAAUACCGCAUAAGUCCUACGGGAGAAAGCAGGGGAUCUUUGGACCUUGCGCUAAUAGAUGAGCCUAAGUUGGAUUAGCUAGUUGGUGGGGUAAAGGCUCACCAAGGCGACGAUCGGUAGCUGGUUUGAGAGGAUGAUCAGCCCCACUGGGACUGAGACCCGGCCCCGACUCCUACGGGAGGCAGCAGUGGGGAAUUUUGGACAAUGGGCGCAAGCCUGAUCCAGCCCUUCCGCGUGGGUGAAGAGGGCCUUCGGGUUGUAAAGCCCUUUUGUCAGGGAGCAAAUCCUGCGUGUGAAUAAUGCGCGGGGAUGAGAGUUCAUGGAGAAUAAGCACCGGCUAACUACGUG
RNAcentral lists this ribosomal RNA (494 nucleotides) under uncultured bacterium. RNAcentral describes it as "bacterial SSU rRNA". It matches the Rfam family "Bacterial small subunit ribosomal RNA", at positions 18 to 507 of the family's 1533-position model. The record is from RNAcentral.